AUCUUUGCGCUUGGGGCAAUGACGCAGCUAGUGAGGUUCUAAACGAGGCGCGUCUAUUGCUGGUUGAAAACUAUUUCCAAACCCCCUCUUGGGCCUGGGUUAUGAUCAGGCCUUCGAGAAUUUCUGGAAGGGCUUCCUUCGGGGAAAAGCU
Small nuclear RNA from Humulus lupulus (European hop), 151 nucleotides. RefSeq annotates it as U4 spliceosomal RNA. Lineage: Eukaryota; Viridiplantae; Streptophyta; Magnoliopsida; Rosales; Cannabaceae. The transcript has a single exon. The record is from RefSeq and is a predicted model, not a curated record.